AUUGAACGCUGGCGGCAGGCCUAACACAUGCAAGUCGAGCGGAUGAAGGGAGCUUGCUCCUGGAUUCAGCGGCGGACGGGUGAGUAAUGCCUAGGAAUCUGCCUGGUAGUGGGGGAUAGCGUCCGGAAACGGGCGCUAAUACCGCAUACGUCCUGAGGGAGAAAGUGGGGGAUCUUCGGACCUCACGCUAUCAGAUGAGCCUAGGUCGGAUUAGCUAGUUGGUGGGGUAAAGGCCUACCAAGGCGACGAUCCGUAACUGGUCUGAGAGGAUGAUCAGUCACACUGGAACUGAGACACGGUCCAGACUCCUACGGGAGGCAGCAGUGGGGAAUAUUGGACAAAGGGCGAAAGCCUGAUCCAGCCAUGCCGCGUGUGUGAAGAAGGUCUUCGGAUUGUAAAGCACUUUAAGUUGGGAGGAAGGGCAGUAAGUUAAUACCUUGCUGUUUUGACGUUACCAACAGAAUAAGCACCGGCUAACUUCGUG
This 484-nucleotide ribosomal RNA is filed under the name uncultured bacterium. RNAcentral describes it as "partial 16S ribosomal RNA". It matches the Rfam family "Bacterial small subunit ribosomal RNA", at positions 30 to 507 of the family's 1533-position model. The record is from RNAcentral.